This 497-nucleotide ribosomal RNA is filed under the name uncultured bacterium. RNAcentral describes it as "partial 16S ribosomal RNA". It matches the Rfam family "Bacterial small subunit ribosomal RNA", at positions 28 to 507 of the family's 1533-position model. The record is from RNAcentral.
GACGAACGCUGGCGGCGUGCCUAAUACAUGCAAGUUGAGCGAUGAAGAUUGGUUCCUGCACCAAUUUGAAGAGCAGCGAACGGGUGAGUAACGCGUGGGGAAUCUGCCUUUGAGCGGGGGACAACAUUUGGAAACGAAUGCUAAUACCGCAUAACAACUUUAAACAUAAGUUUUAAGUUUGAAAGAUGCAAUUGCAUCACUCAAAGAUGAUCCCGCGUUGUAUUAGGUAGUUGGUGAGGUAAAGGCUCACCAAGGCGAUGAUACAUAGCCGACCUGAUAGGGUGGGCGGCCAGAGUGGGAGUGAGACAGGGCACAAAGGGAUACGGGAGGCAGCAGUAGGGAAACGUCGGCAAGGGACGAAAGACAGAGCGAGCAGCGCCGCGGGAGGGAAGAGGGUUUUCGGAUCGUAAAAGACGGUUGGUAGAGAAGAAAGUUGGUGAGAGUGGAAAGCACAGCAAGUGACGGUAACUACCCAGAAAGGGACGGCUAACUACGUG